AUAUCUCUCCGUACGGGAAGGAUGAGAAGCUUCGACUAAGGUUCGAUUCGAGCGAAAGCGAGAAAGCGUUGCCGCAGGCAACGA
This 84-nucleotide small RNA is filed under the name Salmonella enterica. RNAcentral's name for it is "partial RtT sRNA". It matches the Rfam family "RtT RNA", at positions 1 to 82 of the family's 130-position model. From Rfam's summary of the family: This family represents a bacterial cis-regulatory element known as RtT RNA. The record is from RNAcentral. Lineage: Bacteria; Pseudomonadati; Pseudomonadota; Gammaproteobacteria; Enterobacterales; Enterobacteriaceae.